AGUUUGAUCAUGGCUCAGAACCAACGCUGGUGGCAGGCUUAACACAUGCAAGUCGAACGAAGGCUUCGGACUUAGUGGCAGACGUGGUGAGUAACGCGUGGGAACAUACCUUUCGGUACGGAACAACAGUUGGAAACGACUGCUAAUACCGUAUACGCCCUAUGGGGGAAAGAUUUAUCGCCGAGAGAUUGGCCCGCGUUAGAUUAGCUAGUUGGUGGGGUAAUGGCCUACCAAGGCGACGAUCUAUAGCUGGUCUGAGAGGAUGAUCAGCCACACUGGGACUGAGACACGGCCCAGACUCCUACGGGAGGCAGCAGUGGGGAAUAUUGGACAAUGGGGGCAACCCUGAUCCAGCCAUGCCGCGUGAGUGAUGAAGGCCCUAGGGUUGUAAAGCUCUUUCAGCGGAGGAGGAUAAUGACGUUACUCGCAGAAGAAGCCCCGGCUAACUUCGUGCCAGCAGCCGCGGUAAUACGAAGGGGGCUAGCG
This 486-nucleotide ribosomal RNA is filed under the name uncultured bacterium. RNAcentral describes it as "bacterial SSU rRNA". It matches the Rfam family "Bacterial small subunit ribosomal RNA", at positions 10 to 540 of the family's 1533-position model. The record is from RNAcentral.